Molecule: ribosomal RNA, 515 nt
Filed under: uncultured bacterium
Lineage: Bacteria
Description: partial 16S ribosomal RNA
Rfam family: Bacterial small subunit ribosomal RNA
Source: RNAcentral
GAUGAACGCUGGCGGCGUGCCUAAUACAUGCAAGUCGAGCGAAUGGAUUAAGAGCUUGCUCUUAUGAAGUUAGCGGCGGACGGGUGAGUAACACGUGGGUAACCUGCCCAUAAGACUGGGAUAACUCCGGGAAACCGGGGCUAAUACCGGAUAACAUUUUGAACCGCAUGGUUCGAAAUUGAAAGGCGGCUUCGGCUGUCACUUAUGGAUGGACCCGCGUCGCAUUAGCUAGUUGGUGAGGUAACGGCUCACUAAGGCAACGAUGCGUAGCCGACCUGAGAGGGUGAUCGGCCACACUGGGACUGAGACACGGCCCAGACUCCUACGGGAGGCAGCAGUAGGGAAUCUUCCGCAAUGGACGAAAAUCUGACGGAGCAACGCCGCGUGAGUGAUGAAGGCUUUCGGGUCGUAAAACUCUGUUGUUAGGGAAGAACAAGUGCUAGUUGAAUAAGCUGGCACCUUGACGGUACCUAACCAGAAAGCCACGGCUAACUACGUGCCAGCCGCCGCGGUAA